UUUUGCUAAUUGGAGAUAUGAACAGACCAGGUGGCCAUUCCUACCAGGGAGAAGUGAGGGUAAGUGGCUGUCCCGGGCAAGGAGGUAAGAAAUACCAGUCUCCAAACAUCCAUGUGUAUAUCAAGUGGUGUGGAGUUUACUUUCAGGGAGAAGAACUGUGGUGGACCUUACUUGUCAUGGGGAGAGUGUGAAAAGCAGAGGCAAGACAAAGCAACAUGCACUUGCCAGCUGCUCAAUCCAUGGAGGACUCCAAUGAGAAGACGUUGUUAUUUCAAGGAACAACAAACAGAAAACAAGCAAUCACUUCAAAUAGUUCAGCUAGUUGCAAAUCUGAAUAUGAGGCAAGUCAGCAGAACACAGACAUGGAGAUGAGAGAAAUGCAGCUGAUUUGAACUUUGAGGGUGUGAAAACUUCAGGAAGUUGCGAGAAGAUCUGAGAUAUCUGCAGGAAGGAAACCAGUGAAACUCAUCACUGCUGCCAAGAGGUAAGGAACUCACCUCAUAAUGGAGAAAUUAAUGGAUCUGGUUUCCCUUCAGGUGAAAGAAAUGCAGCUGAUCUGAUCUCCCAGGGGUUGAGGACUAUAAGCAGUCAUGUUACUGAAGAAUACAGGAACACAUGUUCCCAGACCUGCAGAGAGGGGAAAAAAGUUGCCUUCCUUGACUAGAAUGGGAAGACAAUCCCUUAUCACCGUCAUGUUUCAAACCCACAAUGCAGGAGACUGUCACUGACAGAGGAGAAGAUUUACACAUACUCAGGAUUUGAGCACAAAGGAAUAGGAAUGGAGCUGAAUAGAUCCAACACCUGAAAGGACAAUUGGAGCUCCUAAGAUAUGAAACCAUGAAAAAGACCCUUCAUUCAAUAAAGCAACAGUACAGGCUCUGAGGAGAGGUAGGCAGCAUUUGGUAAGUCUACCAAAUGAGCAUACAAUCAACUCUACAAAGUUGCUAACUUAUGUUGUGUCAAAGGGUUUGUUACAGCUGAUCACACAUCUCAGCAUCAAAGAGGAGCUCAGGGGAAUGGCAGACCUCAGGGGAUUCAUCUUUAUCAGGAGGUGAUGAACCUGCUUGUCACUUCUGAGUGACAUCCGUGGCUUUGGUUAGACUUUCAGAUGAAAGAAACACAGCCAGUGUGGUCAGUAUUCAAGAAAUAAUGUUCAAAAGUUGCCUGGGGUCACCUCUUGGGCUAAGGGGAGCAGCUGGUCCCAUCUGCUGGGAUGGAAGCAAAGAAGAAAGCACUAGCCACUGGUUAGUACUGGGACACAGACAAUAUCCUGGAGGGGCCUGGGACAGGGUGUGUAACCACAGUGACCAGUGGGUCCUUUCCCCACUGUGGUCCUGGCUCGCAUGCACAGGGUGAAACUGAUCGCCAUGUUUGGGGUCAGGAAGGAAUUUUCCUCCAGGGCAGAUUGGCCAGAGACCCUGGGGGUUUUUCGCCUUCCUCUGGGGCAUCGAGCAGGGACCAGCCCUUUGGGCCAUUUAGAAACUGACAA
Molecule: non-coding RNA, 1489 nt
Organism: Caretta caretta (loggerhead turtle)
Lineage: Eukaryota; Metazoa; Chordata; Testudines; Cheloniidae
Source: RefSeq, a predicted model, not a curated record